CGGACGGGUGAGUAAUGUCUAGGAAACUGCCUGAUGGAGGGGGAUAACUACUGGAAACGGUAGCUAAUACCGCAUAACGUCGCAAGACCAAAGAGGGGGACCUUCGGGCCUCUUGCCAUCAGAUGUGCCCAGAUGGGAUUAGCUUGUUGGUGGGGUAACGGCUCACCAAGGCGACGAUCCCUAGCUGGUCUGAGAGGAUGACCAGCCACACUGGAACUGAGACACGGUCCAG
This 232-nucleotide ribosomal RNA is filed under the name uncultured Enterobacterales bacterium. RNAcentral's name for it is "partial 16S ribosomal RNA". It matches the Rfam family "Bacterial small subunit ribosomal RNA", at positions 99 to 334 of the family's 1533-position model. Lineage: Bacteria; Pseudomonadati; Pseudomonadota; Gammaproteobacteria; Enterobacterales. The record is from RNAcentral.